GAUGAAGAACGUAGCGAAAUGCGAUACUUGGUGUGAAUUGCAGAAUCCCGUGAACCAUCGAGUCUUUGAACGCAAGUUGCGCCCGAAGCCAUUAGGCCGAGGGAACGCCUGCCUGGGCGUCACACGUCGUUGCCCCCCCAUCUACUCCUUCGGGAUUGCGGGGGGCGGAUGAUGGCCUCCCGUGCGCCUCGUCGCGCGGUUGGCAUAAAUGCCAAGUCCUCGGCGACGCACGCCACGACAAUCGGUGGUUGCGAAACCUCGGUUGCCCGUCGUGUGCGGUCGUCGCGCAUCGAGGGCUCGAAAAAAUUGCCGGGCUCCGGCUCGGCUUUCAACGCGACCCCAGGUCAGGCGGGGUUACCCGCUGAAUUUAAGCAUAUCAAUAAGCGGAGGA
This 391-nucleotide unclassified non-coding RNA is filed under the name soil metagenome. Its description in RNAcentral is "partial contains 5.8S ribosomal RNA, internal transcribed spacer 2, and large subunit ribosomal RNA". The stretch from base 1 to 122 matches the Rfam family "5.8S ribosomal RNA", at positions 35 to 154 of the family's 154-position model. The record is from RNAcentral.